UAGAAGCUGACUGAUGCACCUUUUCUCAUGAACGGAGAGAUGGACUCGUCAAAAACAGGUUUGGGGACACAGGAGUAGUUGGCCAUCGGGUUCUCCUUCAUGUUCUUAAACGACGUGAGCUCCACAAUUCGACUGAUGACAUCAUCAGAGAGCGACAGGUCCAGGUACCUCAUGAUGCGCUCCACCUCCCGCCGAGGGUUCUGAAGGAAUAGAUAUGGUUGUGGAUGUGUGCAGAGCAUGUUUUGUAAUCUUUCACAUGGUCAUACCAGGAGCCCCAGGACACUGAGGAGACAUCAUUCAUAAAGCAUGCAUCGUGUAAACAUCCGUCAUUAAAACACACGUGUAAACAUCA
Molecule: long non-coding RNA, 352 nt
Organism: Notolabrus celidotus (New Zealand spotty)
Lineage: Eukaryota; Metazoa; Chordata; Actinopteri; Labriformes; Labridae
Exons: 2
Source: RefSeq, a predicted model, not a curated record